This 301-nucleotide ribosomal RNA is filed under the name uncultured bacterium. RNAcentral describes it as "partial 16S ribosomal RNA". It matches the Rfam family "Bacterial small subunit ribosomal RNA", at positions 509 to 807 of the family's 1533-position model. The record is from RNAcentral.
CAGUAGCCGCGGGAAUACGAAGGGGGCUAGCGUUGUUCGGAAUCACUGGGCGUAAAGGGUGCGUAGGCGGGCGACUCAGUCAGGGGUGAAAUCCCGAGGCUCAACCUCGGAACUGCCUUUGAUACUGGUUGUCUUGAGUCCGGAAGAGGUGAGUGGAACUGCGAGUGUAGAGGUGAAAUUCGUAGAUAUUCGCAAGAACACCGGUGGCGAAGGCGGCUCACUGGUCCGGAACUGACGCUGAGGCACGACAGCGUGGGGAGCAAACAGGAUUAGAGACCCCCGUAGUCCCUGUCUCUUAUAC